UCAAUGGUUUUUCUCAAAACCCCAACAUAGAAUUAAACAAUCACUU
Non-coding RNA from Picea glauca (white spruce), 46 nucleotides. NCBI's taxonomy places the organism in Eukaryota, Viridiplantae, Streptophyta, Pinopsida, Pinales, Pinaceae. The record is from Rfam.